RNAcentral lists this ribosomal RNA (789 nucleotides) under uncultured bacterium. RNAcentral describes it as "bacterial SSU rRNA". It matches the Rfam family "Bacterial small subunit ribosomal RNA", at positions 105 to 896 of the family's 1533-position model. The record is from RNAcentral.
GGUGAGUAACGCGUUGGUGACCUACCCCAAAGUGUGGGAUAACAGUUCGAAAGAACUGCUAAUACCGCAUGUGGUUAUUGGAUUUAGAAACUAAUAACUAAAGGAGCGAUUCGCUUUGGGAGGGACCUGCGUCCCAUCAGCUAGUUGGUGAGGUAAUGGCUCACCAAGGCUACGACGGGUAGGGGACCUGAGAGGGUGACCCCCCACAAUGGAACUGAAACACGGUCCAUACACCUACGGGUGGCAGCAGUAGGGAAUAUUGCACAAUGGGCGAAAGCCUGAUGCAGCAACGCCGCGUGUGCGAUGAAGGUCUUCGGAUCGUAAAGCACUUUUCUGAGAGAUGAGAAAGGACAGUAUCUCAGGAAUAAGUCUCGGCUAACUACGUGCCAGCAGCCGCGGUAACACGUAGGAGGCGAGCGUUAUCCGGAUUCACUGGGCGUAAAGCGCGUGCAGGCGGUUUGAUAAGUUGGGCGUGAAAGCUCCAGGCUCAACUGGGAGAGGUCGUUCAAUACUACCAGACUAGAGAGCAGAAGAGGAAGAUGGAAUUCCCGGUGUGGUGGUGAAAUGCGUAGAUAUCGGGAGGAACACCAGUGGCGAAGGCGAUCUUCUGGUCUGAUUCUGACGCUCAGACGCGACAGCUAGGGUAGUAAACGGGAUUAGAGACCCCGGGUAAUCCUAGCACGUAAACGAUGUGAUCUUGGUCGUUAGUUGUCUUAAAACACACAUACCGUGCUCGCAAGCAUACGCAGAUUACGUUCAACGCCUUGAGCACUAACGUCCGCAAGGGUG